This 230-nucleotide ribosomal RNA is filed under the name uncultured bacterium. RNAcentral's name for it is "partial 16S ribosomal RNA". It matches the Rfam family "Bacterial small subunit ribosomal RNA", at positions 562 to 791 of the family's 1533-position model. The record is from RNAcentral.
AAAGCGCGCGUAGGCGGUUGUGUAAGUUGGGUGUGAAAUCCCCGGGCUCAACCUGGGAAUUGCAUUCAAAACUGCACGGCUAGAGUAUGGGAGAGGAAGGUAGAAUUCCAGGUGUAGCGGUGAAAUGCGUAGAUAUCUGGAGGAAUACCGAUGGCGAAGGCAGCCUUCUGGCCUAAUACUGACGCUGAGGUGCGAAAGCAUGGGGAGCAAACAGGAUUAGAUACCCUUGU